GGUUGCAUAGCUCAACUGGAUAGAGCAGCUGCCUUCUAAGCAGCAGGUUCGGGGUUCGAGUCCCUGUGCAAUCA
This 74-nucleotide transfer RNA is filed under the name Ekhidna lutea. It matches the Rfam family "tRNA". Rfam says of the family: Transfer RNA (tRNA) molecules are approximately 80 nucleotides in length. Their secondary structure includes four short double-helical elements and three loops (D, anti-codon, and T loops). RNAcentral also lists the same sequence under 7 other names. The record is from Rfam by way of RNAcentral. Lineage: Bacteria; Pseudomonadati; Bacteroidota; Cytophagia; Cytophagales; Reichenbachiellaceae.